Molecule: ribosomal RNA, 559 nt
Filed under: Chrysozyma sp.
Lineage: Eukaryota; Fungi; Basidiomycota; Microbotryomycetes; Chrysozymaceae
Description: partial large subunit ribosomal RNA
Rfam family: Eukaryotic large subunit ribosomal RNA
Source: RNAcentral
AAAAGAAACUAACAAGGAUUCCCCUAGUAACGGCGAGUGAAGCGGGAAGAGCUCAAAUUUGUAAUCUGGCGUCUUCGACGUCCGAGUUGUAAUCUCGAGAAGUGUUUUCCGCGCUAGACCGCAUACAAGUCUGUUGGAAUACAGCGUCAUGGUGGGUGAGAACCCCGUAACUGAUGCGGAUGCCUAGUGCUUUGUGAUACACUUUCGAAGAGUCGAGUUGUUUGGGAAUGCAGCUCAAAGUGGGUGGUAAAUUCCAUCUAAAGCUAAAUAUUGGCGAGAGACCGAUAGCGAACAAGUACCGUGAGGGAAAGAUGAAAAGCACUUUGGAAAGAGAGUUAACAGUACGUGAAAUUGUUGGAAGGGAAACGCUUGAAGUCAGACUUGCUUUUUGGAGUUCAGCCGUAAGGUGUAUUCUUCAGUUGGCAGGCCAGCAUCAGUUUUCGGGGGUGGAAAAGGGUUUGGAGAAGGUAGCAGUCUCGGCUGUGUUAUAGCUCCUUGCUGGAUUCACCCUUGGGGAUUGAGGAACGCAGCGCGCUUUUUGCAAGGCCUUCGGGCUUUU